GAAAAUUACAAGCAUAAGCUCAAAACUCAAAGGACUUGGCGGCGCUUUAGAUCCACCUAGAGGAGCCUGUCCUAUAACCGAUAAUCCCCGUUAAACCUUACCUUCUUUUGCCUCCAGUCUAUAUACCGCCGUCGUCAGCUUACCCUUUGAGGGUCUCAUUAGUAAGCAAAAUUGGUAAAGCCCAAGACGUCAGGUCGAGGUGUAGCAUAUAAGAAGAGAAGAGAUGGGCUACAUUUCCUAUUUAGGGUCCACGGAAAAUGUUUUGAAACAGACAUAUUGAAGUAGGAUUUAGUAGUAAGUAAAAAAUAGAGUGUUUUACUGAAACCGACCCUUAAGCGCGCACACACCGCCCGUCGCUCUCUCCUAAUCACAAUCUCAAAUAUAUAUAUAAAAACUUAAACAAAUAAAGGGGAGACAAGUCGUAACAUGGUAGGUGUACUGGAAAGUGCACUUGGAUAAAU
This 461-nucleotide ribosomal RNA is filed under the name Cynodonichthys tenuis. Its description in RNAcentral is "partial 12S ribosomal RNA". It matches the Rfam family "Bacterial small subunit ribosomal RNA", at positions 875 to 1533 of the family's 1533-position model. The record is from RNAcentral. Lineage: Eukaryota; Metazoa; Chordata; Actinopteri; Cyprinodontiformes; Rivulidae.